UCAUACGUGUUAUGAAUUGUACAUAGUUUACAACUAUCUAUUUGAUAUAAUAUCAUUAAAAUAGUUUUAAUUUUUAUUUUUUUUAUGAACACACAUUAACCACAUUUAAUAUCCAACUAGCUAUUUAUUUUAUUUUAUUUUUUUUUUUUUGUUUGUUUUGGUUUGCGUUGUUUGUAUCACUUGACUCGACCGACUUUGAUUCUUUUUUUUUUAAUUCAUACGAGCGCAAAAAAAAAAAAAAAAAAAAAAAAAAAAGUUACAAAGUUAGUUACAAAGUUAGUUACAAAUUUAGCUACAAAGUUACAAACAAUUCACUGUAUUUUCCCGCGUACACCUCAACUGAUCACCAAACAUUUUUUGUAUUAUUAUGUAAAACGUAAGAGUAUGCAAAACAAAAAGAAAACAAACAACAAGAAGUUAUUAUCAGAUUAUUAUGGAGAUGAUAACCAAAGUGAUAGAAGCAUAGAUGUUGGUGGUCAUGCAACUAGUGAGCUAAAUACAUUAGAAGGAAAUUCAUUAAAAAUAGUAGACCAAGAUUUUAAUAGUUUUAUAAACAAUGGUAUGUUAGAUAUUUCAAUUACUCCGUCUGUUGAUUUAUCAAACAGUAAUAUUACCCCUUUUAAAUCUUUGAAAGAAACAAAAUUAAAACCAUUAAAAAAUAUACGAAAUAAUAUUGGUACUUGUGGUUAUACUGAUGAGGAUAGUGAUGAUAAUACAUUAAAAAAAAGUAGUAUAUUAAAAAAUGAUAAAGGGCAAAAUAAUAGAAAAAAAUCUGAAUCUAAUAUAAAUAUAGAUAUUCAUACAGAUAAUGAUGAAAGUAAUGCAUAUGAAAAGGAAAAGGGUAUAUAUGAACAAAGUCCAUUUUUUAAAAACAUGGAAAAUGAUAAUGUUUUUAGACAAAAAAAGCAAGGAAAGAAAAAUAAACCAUUAAAUGGAGAGGAAGAUAAAAAUAUGAAUGUUAGUGGUAGUGGUAGUGUUAAUGGUGGUGUUAAUGGUAGUGGUAGUGGUAGUGUUAGUAGUAGUAGUACUGAAGACCCUUAUGAUAAGAAGAAAAAGAGUAGUGAUAGUGAUAGUGGUAGUGGUGACGGUAGUGACAGUAGUAGUAAUAAUAAUAUGAACCGUAAUAAGGUAAAACCUAAUGAGGUAGGUAGGGAAAAAAAACAUGUACAUGAUGUGAAUAAUAUAAAUGGCAAUAUAAACGAAAGUAUAAAUAUAACUGAUUCAAAAAAUGAUUCGAAUGUUGCAACAGGACAAAACACAAAUACACUUUAUCAAAAACAGACGAACUCGUCUUUAAUUGGAGGAACGAUGAAUUCUGCUAUGGUAGGAAGGAACAGUUUUUAUCCUGACAAGAGUCUAAAUUUAAAAAUAAAUGAUUUAUCUAUGUCUCAAGAUUAUUUAGGCAGUAGUAACAUAAGUAUGUUAUCAUCUAGUAUACCGUAUAAAGAAGAAGGUUUAUGUUUUAUAAAGUAUAUAAUAGUCUGUAAUUUCAAAAGUUAUGAAAAUGAAAAUGUGAUAGGU
This 1521-nucleotide long non-coding RNA is filed under the name Piliocolobus tephrosceles (Ugandan red Colobus). RNAcentral describes it as "lncRNA (ENSPTEG00000000456.1)". The record is from RNAcentral. Lineage: Eukaryota; Metazoa; Chordata; Mammalia; Primates; Cercopithecidae.